This is a long non-coding RNA of Haliotis rubra (blacklip abalone), 120 nucleotides long. RefSeq lists it as uncharacterized. The record is from RefSeq and is a predicted model, not a curated record. The transcript has 3 exons. Lineage: Eukaryota; Metazoa; Mollusca; Gastropoda; Lepetellida; Haliotidae.
UGUGUGUGUGUGUGUGUGUGGGUGGGGUUGCCAAGUGGUUAAUCCGCUCGCUCGUCACGCUGAAGACCUGGGUUCGAUUCCCCACAUGGGCACAAUGCGUGAAGCCCUAUUCUGGUGUCC